GGGGAGAUUGAGCUUCAAGAAAUUGUUAACGCUCUUAUCAAUACACAAAUGUACAACUCCUCAAGAAUUUCAAUUGUGCUUAUACCCAUCACUGUACGAGUUGGAUUCAAGAUUUCCCCAACCCCUUUUCAUCAAUGGACUCCCGACGUCUACGACACGAAAUGUAUGCUUGCAUAUCCGUCCUUACGGCAAAUCAGAUAUGUAAUUAUUGGAAUAAUUUUUGGAGACUCAAAUGAUGGAUAUGCAAGCAUGAUAAUUUAUAUGUUGUUCUAUCUCUCCAUGAAUCUAGAAACUUUUGCUUGCAUUGUAUUAUUUGGUCUAUGUACCGAAACUAGUAACAUUCAUGAUUAUGCAGUAUUAUACAUGAUAGUUCCUUUUUUGGCUCUCUCUUUAUCCCUAUGUCUCUUAUCCCUAGGUGGCCUUCCUCCAGUAGCCGGUUUUUUGAAACUCUAUAUAUUCUGGUAUGGAUGGCAAGCAGGCCUCUGUUUCUUGGUUUCAAUAGGACUCCAUACGAGCAUUCUGCCUAUCUACUACUAUCUGAAAAAUUAA
RNAcentral lists this ribosomal RNA (549 nucleotides) under Triticum aestivum (bread wheat). RNAcentral's name for it is "partial small subunit ribosomal RNA". Lineage: Eukaryota; Viridiplantae; Streptophyta; Magnoliopsida; Poales; Poaceae. The record is from RNAcentral.